UUCGCCAUCCUCUGAUUGAGAUGUGUUCUAUUUCUUUUUUAUCAGAAGAGAUGUGUUCGUUGUGUCUGUGUUCUGUGAAUCAUUCUGCGCCUUUAUCUCGGCCUCGGCCUCCACCUCAUCAUUCUCUGCGGUAGAAUGAUGUUCGGAUGCAUCAUCUUCAUUCAAAGAAACAUAUGAAGACAAUAAUUGGAAUCAGUUCUAUCAGCCUACAUUCACUGGAAUCAAAGAAAAACAUCAAGUCCAACAACUUGUAUCGGCGUGCAAGAUUAUAUUAAGUUCUCUCUGAUUUGACAAACUUGUAAGUAAUAAGUUUUGAUUUCCAAUUUUGGCUGAGUGAUUAGACAGUUCAUAAAAAUCAGAUAAGGUGAACAAUAACCAGGUUUACACUCACUGUCUGCCUGAGGUUUGAUGGUCAAUUACCAUAAAAGGAGAGUUUCCUAUGGUUAGGAUAAAGAAACCACUUCAAAGUUGAGAAAAAGUUUCUGCAAUUUUCUCUAAACCUCAAGGGAGGUUAGUGUACUCUUGCCCUUUUACCAUAGUGGUAUUUAGAAAAUUACCAUUUGCCUUCAACUAUUUGUUCAACCAAACUGUUGUAAGAGUAUCAUUUUCCAUUUAACCAUAAUCAGCAAUUUCUGAAGCUCUAAUAACACAAAUCAGCUGAAGCAUCUAAAAGCUAAUUGAUGGGGGGAAAGUCUUUUAAAGUCUAUUCAAGCAGGACAGGGAAGACAUAAAUAAACUUUAAGUAGGAUUAAUAUUAAUUGAAAUUAAAUUAGAAUUAAUAUUAAUGAGAAUUAAAUUAAGAGUAGUAUUUGUUGGAGUCAAAUUAGGAUUAGCUAGUUAGCAUAUAAUAUAAUUAGAAUUAUUGUCAUACUAGGUUAUUAGAAUCCUAGUAGACUUUUAAUUUUAUAGAGAAGCCUAUAAAUAAGGCUAAUCAAUGAAAAUCAAAGUAAUGAAUUGAUUGAUAUUAAUAAUAUGAUGUUUUUUUUAUUGCAAGUGUUACAAUUCUCAAUUGUAAGACUCCAUUGAUUUUCUUCCAGGUGAGACUCCUAGAAAGCCUUAGAGACUUUAAGGUUUCCAUCUUUUCUUCAUCAUUUCUUCUUUCUCUCUAUUUUCAUUUUUAAUUUUAUUUUUUCUCUACCAUAAACUUUAUUCCUUGCUCCUAUCCUUACACCUUAAAAAUAGAAACCUUAGCACACCUACUUUGAGUGUAGGCAACCAUCCUAGGGUUGUAAUACAUCAAUUUUGGUAUUAGAGCGAAAGUUCUUGACUUGAAGGCAUAUGCAAUCGAGAAGCGGAGCAACUUAUGCAAGAACGAGUUCCAAAAAUACUUCUAACAAUUAAGAUGUUGCAACAAUACGCUAGGAGGAAAUUUCAGCCGCACAAUAAUUCCAUCAAGAUGCAAUAAUACAACUAAAUAACAAACUUGAUGAGAUCAUGAAGUUAUUAGAAAAGAGUAAAAAAAAAGGACAAAUUGAAGAUGAGACUGCAAGCCAUCAAUUUAGACAAUCGCCAAAUUGAUCACAUGAAGAACAAGGCAAGUUUAAGAUGAGGAAUCAAAAAAGGGGCAAACUCUUUGAACAAGAUGAUGAUGUGACAAAAAAGGCAUGCCUUGAAGUUGUUGAAUUUUAUGGAAAAUUAAAUCCAACAACUUUUUCUGAUUGGAUUAUGUCAAUGGAAGAUUACUUUGAUUGGUAUGCAAUGCCUGAAAAUAGAAAAAUUCAUUUUGUGAAGGCAAAGUUGAAAGGAGCAACACGUUUAUAACAUCGAGUAUCAACUUCAUAGAACUGGCCAACACCUAUAGACACAAGGGACAAGAUGAAGUUGAAGAUGAAGGAGCACUUUCUCCUAAUUGAUUAUAAACAACUCAUGUUCACAAAAUUGUUUUCCCUUAAACAAUGUACCAAGUCCAUUGAAGAAUAUACAAAAGAAUUCCAUGAAUUGAGCAUUCAAAAUCAAGUACGGGAAAGUGAUGCUCAACUUGCAACCCGUUAUAGAGUUGGCCUUCAAAUAAAGAUUCAACUUGAGAUGAUAGUUGCACACACUUAUACCGUAGAUAAUGUUUAUCAACUAGCCCUUAAAACAAAAGAAGGCCUCAAGUUUUGAGUUUCCAAACGUCUAAGUUCACAAAUUGGGAGCACUUUCUCCAACUGAAUAGCAAGCAAACCUUUAAGCACAUCAAGCUUCAAAACUUCUAAUCAUGCGAAUGGUGGGGGCAACAAUCAACAAACUUCGAAUGUGGCUAAUAAAGAUGGUAAUAAGGGUAAAACUUCAAUGAGUAUUAGAGAUAGAAAAGCAGAUGUGUCCUUUAUGCUUUAAGUGUGAUGGGCAUGGUCAUUAUGCUAUUGUGUGCCCAAGCAAAGGUUUACACUUUUGUGUUGAAGAACCAGAAUCUGAAUUGGAGAGUUACCCAAAGGAAGAAGAGACCCACAACGAAGAUGAACUUAGUGAAGAAUGUGAUUACUAUGAUAGUAUGACAGAAGGACACAGGCUUGUAGUGCGCCCUUUAUUAGCUAUCCCAAAGGUAAAAAGAGAAGAAGAUUAGUGACGUACUACCAUUUUCCAGAUACUUAUUUCUUGCCAAGGGAAGUUACGUACCAUGAUCAUUGAUGGAGGUAGUGGUUUGAACAUAGUUGUGCAAGAGCUUAUUGAGAAGCUAAACCUUAAAAUAAAGAGACAUCCAAAUCCAUUGCAAGUAGCAUGGGAUAGUGACUCCUUUAUUCCGAUAAGUUGUUGCUGCUUGAUUACAUUCCUUUUUGGUAAGGACUUUGAAGAGUCUAUAUGGUGUAAAGUCUUAACAAUAAAAGUAAGUCAUAUUUACUUAGAAGACUUUGGCUUUUUGAUAGAAGAGGUCAGCAUGACAAUUACAAAAAUAAAUAUACUCUCAUACACAAUGGGCGUAAGAAGAUCCUUUGUUCGAAAAGUCCCACCAAUUAAAAAACCAAAGGAUGCACAACCAAAAACGGUGCUUACUAUGUGUCAAUUCGAAAAGGUAUGAGACAAAAUCAAAAUUAGUAAUGAGAACUAUAAGGAGGCAAUAGAAGCACAUUGAAGAUAUAUUCAAUUUCAAGAAGGUGGUCUAGUAAUAGUUCGUCUACGUCCAAAAAGAUUUCAUCCGAGCACAUAUCACAAACUGUAAACUAAGAAAACGGGUCCAGUUUAGGUGCUAAAACGAUUAGGUGAGAAUGUGUAUUUGUUAGAAUUUCCUUCAAAAUUGCAUUUUAGUUCAAUAUUUAAUGGAAGAAUUGUCUGUCUACUAUGGUCAUCAAAACAAGCUAAGUGAAGAAUUGGAUCUUUAAUUGCCACCUAAUCUUAGCCCACGUCUUGAGAUAGAGAAUGUUCUUAAAGAUCAACUUGUGUCUACUCGACAAGGUGGAUACUAUAAAUUUUUAGUGAAAUGGAGAGGCAAACCACACUAUGAAAAUACAUGGAUUACAACAAUAGAUUUUCAGAAGCUUAAGUCUAAUCUCUAUGAAUUUUUUAUUUUUGAUAAGCUAAUCUCUAUGAAUUGUAUCAAGCAUCUAACUCGUCGAAGCUGAGUUCUUUCAAGUUGGGAGGAAUUGAUGGGGAAAAGUCUUUUAAAGUCUAUUCAAGGAGGAAAGAGAAGACAUAAAUAAACUUUAAGUAUAAUUAAUAUUAGUUGGAAUUAAAUUAGAAUUAGUAUUAAUUGGAAUUAAAUUAUGAUUCGUAUUAAUUGGAAUUAAAUUAUGAUUCGUAUUUCUUAGAGUCAAAUUACGAUUAGCUAGUUAGAUUAUAAUAUAAUUUGAAUUAUUGUCAUAAUAGGUUACUAGAAUCCUAGUAGACUUUGGAUAUUAUAAUUAGAAUUAAAAUCAUAAUAAGUUAUUAGAAUCCUAGUAGACUUUGGAUUUCUUAGAGAAACUUAUAAAUAAGGCUAAUUAAUAUAAAUCAAAGUAAUGAAUGGAUUGAUAAUAAUAAUAUUAUGUUUUUUCAUUACAAGUGUUGCAAUCCUCUAUGGUGAGAUUGCAUUAAUUUUCUUCUAAGUGAGAUUCCUUUGAUUUUCUUCCAGGUAAAACUCCUAGAAGGCCUUAGUGAGACUCUAAGGUUUCUAUCUUAUCUUCGUCAUUUCUUCUUUCUCUUUAUUUUUUCUCUACCAUAAACUUUAUUCCUUGUUCUUUUCCUUACACCCUAAAAAUAAAAAUCCUAGCCCACCUACUUUGAGUGUAGGCAACCAUCCUAGGGUCAUCCUACAUCACUAAUGACAUCACACCUUCAUAGACAACAUGUAGAGAAAGAAUCAUUUCACAAUCAAUCUAUAAUUCUCUGAAAUCAAUACACUCAAUUAAAAAGAGAAAUGCUUCAUUAACCUCUAUUUGCUGCAAAAAAAACUGUGCAAAGAGAAAGGGGAAAAAGAAAGAACCUAGACACUCAUGUUUGAUUUUUCUUUUUCUUUUUUUCAAAAUUUUUAGUGAUAAGGAGUAUAUUAAAAUAGAGAAUCAAAUAGUUAUCAAGAGAAGAUCAGCUUCAACUGGCAGACCUGUACACAAGAAAUAAUAAAUAAAGAAGCACUCUGAGAAGCUGGAAAGAUAAAGCUGUCCUUGCUUACUGCGUCAUCAAAAGAUAGAAAUGACCUCUAAACUCCAACAAAAUAAUCUGACCCCUUUGGCUAGACCGUCUACUACUCCAUUACUUAGAGUGCAUUCGGCAGUUUUUUAUUUGAAGUGUUUUCUCUAGAAGUAUUUUUAGGAAAAUCAUCUAUCAAGUAUUUUUCCAAAGAACACUAUAAAUGAUUUUUUAAUACUAAAAGCAAUUUUUCAAAAAAAAGUGUUUCCUGAAUUUUUCCAAACACAUGAUUUUUCUUCAAAAACACUACCAAAUGGACUCUUCCAUCCAAUCACAAGGAACCUCCUAAGUGAAGGACCUCUUGCAUGAAAUGGGAUCUUAGCUACAAACCAGAAAACAAUUACCUGCUACCAAACGCUGCCUCAACACCAACACAAGGUUAGCAGAUACUUUGCCAUCACUAUAAGGUCAGCCAACAGAUUGCCAAGAGUACCCAGCAAUCAACUUUUAGAAUUCAGCUCCGCUCAACCCCAGUGAAGAAUGUUUCCAUUUAUUGACUAAAUCACAGGCUAAAAUCAUCAUUAUUAUUUUUUUUAUAUAUAAUUGAGGAACCUUCCAUGGCUGAACCCUUCAGACUCUCCAUGGGAUCCAAACCUCGGGUUCUGAGUGCCCACCACAAGGACUCCAACCACACCUUGCCCUUGCUUUUCUGGUUUGUUUGGAACCAACCACACUUUGCUUGCUUGUUUGGAAAAAUAGAAUUUAAAGAACUUUUCGAACAAAAUAAAUGAUCUUUAACUCCCUUUAUUCCAUGUUUUAUCUUUAAAGAACUUUUCAAACAAAAUAAAUGAUCUCUAACUCCCUUUAUUUCAAUGUUUUAUCUUCCAAAUCUUUUUGUAUGGGAAAAGUUUAACUGCAAUGCCUUGGAAACCAAAAUCAGCACAAAUAUAGGCAAUACUUUUGUUGAAUAUAAUGUAUGUAUAGUAUACUAUCUUUCCUUGUUAAUAUAGGUCACAUGUAUGGUAGUUAGGACUCCUAGCCUUGUAUAUAUAUAUCUCUCAAUUGUAAGUAGAGAUUACAAUGAAUGUGAAUAAGGUUUUUCUCCUUUCUCUCUCUCUCUCUCAACAUGGUAUCAGAGCCAAGGAAGAAAACCUAAUUCUUUCCUGUUUUCCGUAUCAUCAACUCCGGGAAACCUUCCGGUGACCGUGUUUCUUUCCGGUCACCUUCCCCAUCUCCCAAUACUUUCCGGUCAGUCGGAUCGUCAUUAGAAACCACUCACCGCUGGCAAAUUUUCCGGCGAACUUUCCGGCGAACUUUCCGGCGAACUUUCCGGCGAACUUUCCGGCGAAAUUUUCCGGCGACCUAUUUUUCCGACACCGACCAUACCAGAAGGAGCGCCUGGAGGAGAUCUCCAACUUUUGUGAAGGCACCAGCACCAAAAGAGCAGCCACGCGCCGGCCAUGCGCAAUUUUCCGGCCGGCGGUUGAAUCUCACGCGCCGGCGCGUGGGGGCGCGUGAGAGCUUUUCCGGCGACGCGCCUCCUCCUCCAGCUUCGCCUGACGCCGAUCAGCCUUCCCACCUCCCUGGUUCUCCCAUCCGAGCCCUGCACGUACCUCUUUUGGGGAUUUUUGUCUCCGUCGGCCCUCCAAACAGUCUUUCCGGCGAAGCUCCGACCACUUUUUCUCCACUCCAAUCCCUGCACGUGCCUUGGGAAGUGUUCUUCUCCCUUUCUGGUGGUACCACACCGCGAUCUGAGGCCGUCUCCCUUUUUCGGUGGUGCCACGCUGCAAUCUGAAGCCGUAUUAGGGCUCUCUUCGAUCCAAACAUACUUCAUUCUCCAGAUAAGUGGAUAUGGCUACUAAAGCUUCCAUUUUUUCCUCUGUCAUAUCUGGAUCUCCUAUGAUUACUUCGGAGAAAUUAGUUGGGAGUGAAAAUUAUCUUUCCUGGUCUGCCUCUGUUGAACUUUGGUUUAUGGGUCAAGGAUAUGAGGAUCACUUGAUUACACAGGAGACAGAUAUCCCUGAGGUCGACCGCGUACAGUGGAGGAAGAUAGAUGCACAGUUGUGUAGUGUAUUAUGGCAAUCGGUUGAUCCCCGAAUUCUUCUUCAUCUUCAGGCCUAUAAAACUUGUUUUAAAUUUUGGACUCAGGCCAAAGGAUUAUACACGAAUGAUAUCCAGCGUCUUUAUAAGGUGGCUUCUGCUAUUGUCCAUCUCAGCCAACAGGACUUGGAUCUAUCUACUUAUAUUGGCCAGAUUGCCUCUCUUAAGGAGCAGUUCUUGACUGUGAUGCCUCUUACUCCUGAUGUUGGGGCUCAACAAACACAGCUUGACAAGUUCUUCAUGGUCCUUACUCUUAUCGGCCUCCGUCCGGAUCUUGAGCCUAUUCGUGAUCAGAUUCUUGGUAGUUCAUCAGUUCCGUCCUUGGAUGAUGUGUUUGCUCGCCUCCUCCGUAUCUCGUCCACUCAGACUUUGCCAUCUGAUAGCGCUUCAGAUUCUUCUGUGUUAGUUUCUCAAACUACCUCUCGAGGAGGACGCAGUGGUACCCGAGGUAGAGGCCAACGUCCUCAUUGCACCUAUUGCAAUAAACUUGGCCACACUCGCGAUCGUUGCUAUCAGUUACAUGGAAGACCUCCUCGCACUGCCCAUAUGGCCCAGUCCUCUGAUUCUCCGCUGCCUCAGCCUCCGAGCUCCUCCGCAUCUCAGACAUCUCAGGCUUCUAUUGCCUCUGUUGCCCAGCCUGGUAAUGCCUCUGCCUGCCUUACCCACACAUCUUCUCUUGGACCCUGGAUUCUAGAUUCUGGAGCAUCUGAUCACCUAUCUGGUAAUAAGGAUCUUUUCUCCUCUAUUACUACUACCUCUGAUUUACCUACUGUUACCUUAGCUAAUGGUUCUCAAACUGUGGCUAAAGGUAUUGGUUUGGCCCUUCCUUUGCCUUCUCUACCUCUCACUUCUGUCCUUUAUACUCCUGAAUGUCCUUUUAAUCUUAUUUCCAUCAGCAAAAUCACUCAUACUCUUAAUUGCUCUAUUACCUUUUCUGAUAAAUUUGUGACCUUGCAGGACCGGAGUACGGGGAAGACGAUUGGCAUAGGACGUGAGUCUCAAGGCCUCUAUCACCUCACCUCAGAUUCAUCUCCUGCAGUUUGCAUUUCCACUGAUGCUCCUCUCCUCAUUCACAAUCGUCUGGGCCACCCUAGUCUCUCCAAGUUCCAGAAGAUGGUUCCUCGUUUUUCCACUUUGUCGUCGCUUCCGUGUGAGUCAUGUCAGCUUGGGAAACAUACUCGUGUCUCGUUCCCAAAGCGUUUGAAUAAUCGGGCAAAGUCUCCUUUUGAGCUUGUCCACACUGAUGUUUGGGGUCCUUGUCGGACUGCGUCUACUUUAGGAUUUCAGUAUUUUGUCACUUUCAUUGAUGACUAUUCUCGAUGUACUUGGUUAUUCUUAAUGAAAAAUCGAGCUGAGUUAUUCUCUAUUUUCCAGAAAUUUUAUACUGAAAUCCAAACCCAGUUCAAUAUUUCUAUUCGUGUGUUACGCAGUGACAAUGCCAGGGAAUAUUUUUCAGCCCAAUUUACUUCGUUUAUGUCUCAUCAUGGGAUUCUUCAUCAGUCUUCUUGUGCUCAUACUCCUCAACAAAAUGGGGUAGCUGAACGCAAGAAUCGACAUCUUGUUGAGACAGCUCGUACUCUCCUCCUCCAUAAUCAUGUUCCUUUUCGUUUUUGGGGGGACGCUGUUCUUACCGCUUGUUAUUUGAUUAAUCGUAUGCCCUCCUCUGUCUUACACGAUCAGAUUCCUCACUCCCUUCUUUUCCCUGACCAACCACUUUAUUUCCUUCCUCCUCGUGUCUUUGGUUGUACUUGCUUUGUUCAUAUUCUCACUCCUGGACAGGACAAGCUUUCUGCCAAAGCCAUGAAGUGCCUCUUCUUGGGAUAUUCCAGACUUCAGAAGGGUUAUCGUUGUUAUUCCCUUGAGACUCAUCGGUACUUUAUCUCCGCUGAUGUCACCUUCUUUGAGGACUCACCAUUCUUUUCCACCACUUUUGAGUCUCUUCCUGUUUCUGAAGUCUUGCCCAUUCCCAUUGUCUCCCCACCUGAUGCUAUGCCCCCUCGACCACUUCAGGUUUAUCAUCGUCGCCCUCGUGUCGUUGCUCCUCUCCCUUUUCCUGAGGCACCUGCUGACUCACUUCCUAUCCCUUCGGCUUCACCUGCCCCGGCUCUGCCUUCUCCUCAUGACUUACCCAUUGCUGUUCGGAAAGGUAUUCGCUCUACUCGUAAUCCUCAUCCUAUUUACAAUUUUUUGAGUUAUCAUCGAUUAUCUUCACCCUAUUCUGCUUUUGUUUCUGCUAUAUCCUCUGUUUCUCUUCCAAAGAGCACCCAUGAAGCUCUUUCCCAUCCAGGCUGGCGACAGGCAAUGGUGGAUGAAAUGGCUGCUCUGCACUCUAAUGGCACUUGGGAUCUUGUUGUUUUACCCUCUGGUAAAUCUACAGUUGGUUGUCGUUGGGUCUAUGCAGUUAAGGUUGGUCCUGAUGGUCAGGUUGAUCGCCUUAAGGCCCGCUUAGUUGCUAAAGGCUAUACUCAAGUUUAUGGUUCUGAUUAUGGUGACACAUUCUCCCCUGUUGCCAAGAUUGCUUCUGUCCGCUUGCUUCUGUCCAUGGCUGCUAUGUGUUCUUGGCCUCUUUAUCAGUUGGAUAUUAAAAAUGCCUUCCUUCAUGGUGAUCUUGCUGAGGAAGUUUAUAUGGAGCAACCUCCUGGUUUUGUUGCUCAGGGGGAGUCUGGUUUAGUGUGCAGGUUACGCCGCUCUCUAUAUGGCUUGAAACAAUCUCCUCGAGCAUGGUUUAGCCGUUUUAGUUCUGUUGUUCAAGAGUUUGGCAUGCUUCGCAGUACAGCAGACCAUUCAGUUUUUUAUCAUCAUAACUCCUUGGGGCAGUGUAUUUAUCUGGUUGUUUAUGUGGACGACAUCGUCAUUACAGGCAAUGAUCAGGAUGGUAUUCAGAAACUAAAGCAACAUCUUUUUACCCACUUUCAGACCAAAGACUUGGGGAAACUCAAGUAUUUCUUGGGAAUUGAGAUAGCUCAAUCCAGUUCUGGUGUGGUCCUUUCCCAAAGGAAGUAUGCUUUAGACAUCCUGGAAGAAACCGGUAUAUUAGACUGUAAACCGGUAGACACACCUAUGGAUCCGAAUGUCAAACUUGUACCAGGACAGGGGGAGCCUUUAGGAGACCCCGGGAGAUAUCGACGGCUCGUAGGUAAAUUGAACUAUCUCACCAUUACUCGUCCAGACAUUUCUUUUCCUGUGAGUGUGGUUAGUCAAUUCCUACAGUCACCAUGUGAUAGCCAUUGGGAUGCCGUAAUCCGUAUUCUUCGAUAUAUCAAAAGUACACCAGGCCAAGGUGUAUUGUACGAGAACAGAGGUCAUACUCAAGUUGUUGGUUACACAGAUGCAGAUUGGGCUGGCUCACCCACAGAUAGACGUUCCACUUCAGGGUACUGUGUUUUUAUUGGAGGUAAUCUAAUAUCUUGGAAGAGUAAGAAACAAGAUGUAGUGGCCAGAUCUAGCGCUGAAGCCGAGUAUCGAGCUAUGGCUUUGGCAACAUGUGAACUCAUAUGGUUGAGACAUCUUCUUCAGGAGUUGAGAUUUGGAAAGGAUGAACAGAUGAAACUCAUCUGUGAUAACCAGGCCGCAUUACAUAUUGCAUCCAAUCCAGUCUUUCAUGAAAGGACCAAGCAUAUUGAAGUUGACUGUCAUUUCAUUAGAGAGAAGAUCGCAUCAGGAUGUGUUGCUACAAGUUUUGUCAAUUCAAAUGAUCAACUAGCAGACAUCUUCACUAAAUCUCUCAGAGGUCCUAGGAUUAAAUAUAUUUGUAACAAGCUUGGUGCAUAUGACGUAUAUGCUCCAGCUUGAGGGGGAGUGUUGAAUAUAAUGUAUGUAUAGUAUACUAUCUUUCCUUGUUAAUAUAAGUCACAUGUAUGGUAGUUAGGACUCCUAGCCUUGUAUAUAUAUAUCUCUCAAUUGUAAGUAGAGAUUACAAUGAAUGUGAAUAAGGUUUUUCUCCUUUCUCUCUCUCUCUCUCUCUCAACAACUUUCAACGUUAUAUCAAACUGAAAUAGCAAAUACUAUUUUCACAUGUUGGAUAAAUAGAAUAUACUCCAUGCAGAAUUAACCAUUUCCUCCGUGGGAUAAGAUCAAAAAUCUAUUUUUUUUCUUUUCUUUUCCUCAAUUUUCUCAGCAAGCAAACAAAGUACAGAUACAAAUUUCACCACACCAUGAAUAAAAUAAGCAGAUAAAGGCUAUCCCUUGACCGCAGAGACUGCAACGAAAUUUCAUCACUUUGCGCCCCCAUUUUGCUUUGUCUGUUGUUUCUUAGUUUCUAUGGAAAAUAGAGCUCAAAAAACUAUCUAAUAAAAGAAAUUUUCUUUUUGUCCAUUCGUUUCAAGUUUUAUCCUCCAAGGAAAAAAAAUUAUCUUCUUUCCUCAACUUUCUCAGAGACCAAACAGCACAAACAUAACCCAAACAUUCAGCAUCAGAACAAACUAAAGACCAUUCACAAAUGCGGCAUAAACACAACUCCAUGUCAAUAGAAUAACAUCAAACCCAACACUCGGCAACCAAACUGAGUGCAUAAAGAAAUUCACCAUACCUUGAAUGAAGUAAGAGGGCGACGGCCAUCCACGAACGGCGGUAACCGCCAAGGCAUCCUCCACCGACAUCUCCCUAGCUAAUUUUCCCAUGCAUUUCAGAAGAUCAAAUUGACGGCGACUUGGGGGCACCCAAUAUGACGAUCCAGGGAUGAAAGGAAGCCAAUCGGGAGCCAAUCUCUGGGCGAUGAUGCGAUGGAUGGCGUCCUCCAGUCUUCGGAUGCCCAUGACUUCGACGUCCCCGCUCUCCGAUUCGAGGUUGAUCUCGAUUAGCUGGGCUUUGCCGGACCGGUUGGAGCGGUGCCGGACGGUGAGGACGCUGAUCAACGGUGGGGGUUUGCAGGAGGGCGAUAGGGAGAGUCUGGUUAGGGUUAGGGUUUGGAAUAGGACUCGAGCCAUAGAGAGGGAUGAUUUUGCAGAAAUUGCAGAAAUUGCAGAUAGAAAUUGCACAGGAGGAAAGGCGGUCAUAAACAGCGGCUCUCGCUUAAG
This 11633-nucleotide long non-coding RNA is filed under the name Vitis vinifera (wine grape). Its description in RNAcentral is "long non-coding RNA (VVIN_LNC003576)". Lineage: Eukaryota; Viridiplantae; Streptophyta; Magnoliopsida; Vitales; Vitaceae. The record is from RNAcentral.